RNAcentral lists this transfer RNA (72 nucleotides) under Saccoglossus kowalevskii. RNAcentral's name for it is "tRNA-Pro". It matches the Rfam family "tRNA". From Rfam's summary of the family: Transfer RNA (tRNA) molecules are approximately 80 nucleotides in length. Their secondary structure includes four short double-helical elements and three loops (D, anti-codon, and T loops). Further hydrogen bonds mediate the characteristic L-shaped molecular structure. tRNAs have two regions of fundamental functional importance: the anti-codon, which is responsible for specific mRNA codon recognition, and the 3' end, to which the tRNAs corresponding amino acid is attached (by aminoacyl-tRNA synthetases). tRNAs cope with the degeneracy of the genetic code in two manners: having more than one tRNA (with a specific anti-codon) for a particular amino acid; and 'wobble' base-pairing, i.e. permitting non-standard base-pairing at the 3rd anti-codon position. The record is from RNAcentral. Lineage: Eukaryota; Metazoa; Hemichordata; Enteropneusta; Harrimaniidae.
GGCUCGUUGGUCUAGGGGUAUGAUUCUCGCUUUGGGAGCGAGAGGUCUCGGGUUCAAAUCCCGGACGAGCCC